This 438-nucleotide long non-coding RNA is filed under the name Theobroma cacao (cacao). RNAcentral describes it as "long non-coding RNA (TCAC_LNC005482)". The record is from RNAcentral. Lineage: Eukaryota; Viridiplantae; Streptophyta; Magnoliopsida; Malvales; Malvaceae.
UUUCAUAUUCUCACUUCAAAAACCUUGAAAUAUCUUGUUUUCAUACUUUCUCUCACUAGUUGGGCAUUCUAGAGAGAGAAAGAGAGAAUCACUCCAUUGAUUUGGAAGCUAUUGGAAGAGAAUCCAACUACAAAGGAACCCUAGGGUGAGUGAUGCACCAAGUUUGAUUUUUAGCUGCAGAAAAUGGCUAGUAAUUGUGAUUUAUGAGCUGUUUUAUUGUUUAGUAUGUUCAUUACUUUUUAGUGAUUAAGAUAGUGAACAUAGAUAGCCAUUUAAAGUGGCAAUUGAAAACUAGCUAAGAGAUAGCUUUUAGAGUUCAUAGUGUGUAAAUUAAUCUAUUGUUUAUGUUAAUGUGAUCCUAGGUUUUUAAGGAAGCACCAUCAUUCCAAUUGGAUCAUUAGGGGAAUUUGAGUCAAUUAAAAGUUCUACAAUCAAUUG